RNAcentral lists this ribosomal RNA (455 nucleotides) under Streptococcus mutans. Its description in RNAcentral is "bacterial SSU rRNA". It matches the Rfam family "Bacterial small subunit ribosomal RNA", at positions 28 to 458 of the family's 1533-position model. The record is from RNAcentral. Lineage: Bacteria; Bacillati; Bacillota; Bacilli; Lactobacillales; Streptococcaceae.
GACGAACGCUGGCGGCGUGCCUAAUACAUGCAAGUGGGACGCAAGGGAACACACUGUGCUUGCACACCGUGUUUUCUUGAGUCGCGAACGGGUGAGUAACGCGUAGGUAACCUGCCUAUUAGCGGGGGAUAACUAUUGGAAACGAUAGCUAAUACCGCAUAAUAUUAAUUAUUGCAUGAUAAUUGAUUGAAAGAUGCAAGCGCAUCACUAGUAGAUGGACCUGCGUUGUAUUAGCUAGUUGGUAAGGUAAGAGCUUACCAAGGCGACGAUACAUAGCCGACCUGAGAGGGUGAUCGGCCACACUGGGACUGAGACACGGCCCAGACUCCUACGGGAGGCAGCAGUAGGGAAUCUUCGGCAAUGGACGAAAGUCUGACCGAGCAACGCCCGCGUGAGUGAAAGAAAGGUUUUUCGGGAUCGUAAAAGCUUCUGUUGUAAAGUCAAAGAAACGUGUG